Molecule: ribosomal RNA, 253 nt
Filed under: uncultured bacterium
Lineage: Bacteria
Description: partial 16S ribosomal RNA
Rfam family: Bacterial small subunit ribosomal RNA
Source: RNAcentral
UACGUAGGGUCCGAGCGUUGUCCGGAAUUACUAGGCGUAAAGGGCAGGUAGGUGGUUUGGUAAGUCUAUUGUGAAAGCUCCCGGCUCAACUGGGAGAGGCCAAUGGAUACUGCCAAGCUUGAGUAUAGGAGAGGUUACUGGAAUUCCCGGUGUAGCGGUGAAAUGCGCAGAUAUCGGGAGGAACACCAAUGGCGAAAGCAGGUAACUGGACUAUUACUGACACUCAACUGCGAAAGCUAGGGGAGCAAACAGG